AGACCCACCUGGCAGAGGAGAUGCCAUGAUCAUGAAGGUGGUUUCCCAGGACGAGGCUUAGCCAUCGCACUCCAGAUGUGCUGGACCCUGCAAUUUUCUCAAAUGUAGAAAACUCGACUGCAUGGUUUGUGAUAGUGGGGAUUGCAUUUAUGCUCCCCG
Molecule: small nuclear RNA, 159 nt
Organism: Phyllostomus discolor (pale spear-nosed bat)
Lineage: Eukaryota; Metazoa; Chordata; Mammalia; Chiroptera; Phyllostomidae
Product: U1 spliceosomal RNA
Exons: 1
Source: RefSeq, a predicted model, not a curated record